This 111-nucleotide transfer RNA is filed under the name Thelephora terrestris. It matches the Rfam family "tRNA". Rfam says of the family: Transfer RNA (tRNA) molecules are approximately 80 nucleotides in length. Their secondary structure includes four short double-helical elements and three loops (D, anti-codon, and T loops). Lineage: Eukaryota; Fungi; Basidiomycota; Agaricomycetes; Thelephorales; Thelephoraceae. The record is from Rfam by way of RNAcentral.
GGCACUUUGGCUGAGAGGUUAAGGCGGCAGACUUGAAAUCUGCUCCUCAUGGGGUGUAGACUUGAAAUCUUCUAUCCUGUGAGGGCGUAGGUUCAAAUCCUACAGGUGCUA